UACGAAGGGGGCUAGCGUUGCUCGGAAUCACUGGGCGUAAAGGGUGCGUAGGCGGGUCUUUAAGUCAGGGGUGAAAUCCUGGAGCUCAACUCCAGAACUGCCUUUGAUACUGAGAGCCUUGAGUUCGGGAGAGGUGAGUGGAACUGCGAGUGUAGAGGUGAAAUUCGUAGAUAUUCGCAAGAACACCAGUGGCGAAGGCGGCUCACUGGCCCGAUACUGACGCUGAGGUGCAAAAGCGUGGGGAGCAAACAGG
RNAcentral lists this ribosomal RNA (253 nucleotides) under uncultured bacterium. RNAcentral's name for it is "partial 16S ribosomal RNA". It matches the Rfam family "Bacterial small subunit ribosomal RNA", at positions 524 to 776 of the family's 1533-position model. The record is from RNAcentral.